UGUUGCACAUGUUUGAUUCUGAUGUUGUGUAAAUCAGUUGACAAGAGAUUUGAGUUUCAGUACUUUGCAGUCUGCAUAUUACAGAACAAGAAGGGUGUGAGGAGAUUCUGUAAUAAUGAAAGAGUCGGGAAAAAAAUAAGAACAACAUAUUAUUUUUCUAUUCCAAGUCUUACAUGGUCAGAUCUCUCUCUCUCUCUCUCUAUAUAUAUAUAUAUAUAUGUGUG
Molecule: long non-coding RNA, 224 nt
Filed under: Carica papaya (papaya)
Lineage: Eukaryota; Viridiplantae; Streptophyta; Magnoliopsida; Brassicales; Caricaceae
Description: long non-coding RNA (CPAP_LNC012903)
Source: RNAcentral